RNAcentral lists this ribosomal RNA (466 nucleotides) under uncultured bacterium. RNAcentral describes it as "partial 16S ribosomal RNA". It matches the Rfam family "Bacterial small subunit ribosomal RNA", at positions 28 to 505 of the family's 1533-position model. The record is from RNAcentral.
GACGAACGCUGGCGGCGUGCUUAACACAUGCAAGUCGAACGGAAAGGCCCUGCUUUUGUGGGGUGCUCGAGUGGCGAACGGGUGAGUAACACGUGAGUAACCUGCCCUUGACUUUGGGAUAACUUCAGGAAACUGGGGCUAAUACCGGAUAGGAGCUCCUGCUGCAUGGUGGGGGUUGGAAAGUUUCGGCGGUUGGGGAUGGACGCGCGGCUUAUCAGCUUGUUGGUGGGGUAGUGGCUUACCAAGGCUUUGACGGGUAGCCGGCCUGAGAGGGUGACCGGCCACAUUGGCACUGAGAUACGGCCCAGACUCCUACGGGAGGCAGCAGUGGAGAAUAUUGCACAAUGGGCGGAAGCCUGAUGCAGCAACGCCGCGUGCGGGAUGACGGCCUUCGGGUUGUAAACCGCUUUCGCCUGUGACGAAGCGUGAGUGACGGUAAUGGGUAAAGAAGCACCGGCUAACUGCG